This 953-nucleotide long non-coding RNA is filed under the name Eutrema salsugineum. RNAcentral describes it as "long non-coding RNA (ESAL_LNC002218)". Lineage: Eukaryota; Viridiplantae; Streptophyta; Magnoliopsida; Brassicales; Brassicaceae. The record is from RNAcentral.
UCUAAUACAAUUAUUGAAACACGCAUUGCAGUAAACACAACCAGUUUAAGAGGAAGACAUUAUAUCAACUAUGGUUAGGAAGACAUCAUGAUUAUAACAUAUUGACAUGUUAAUGGUUUAUUUUUUCAUCUAUGCACUAUAUAUAUAUAUAUAUAUAUAUAGAUAAUUGGAUUUUUGUCAAUAUAGUAAUGAAUGUUAACACAUGUAAAAAAUGCUCUCAGGCACCAACUUCGAAGCUUUCCUAAUAUGUCUUCAGAUCUACUUUUUUUUCAAACCCAACCACUCUCAUUCACCUGAAAUAACCAUCCUUGACGGCAACCUCCGUGACUUCCUCCCCUUUCUCACCGGAAAACCCCCUCUUCUCUAACCGUGAUGGAUACCAUAGCUCCCUCUCACCAGCUCUGCUCCCGCCGUCUUGCUGUUUUUCUCGAACACCUCCUUUAUCUCCUUCUAGCUUAAAGCUAAGAAUAAGUCUGACAGAAAUUUCUUUCUAAGUCCUGGCGAACAACCUUAAGCUCACCGAGAACACAAGCUCCCCUGCUUCAUUCCUUCUCACCCUGCAAAUGGAUCCACAGACUUGCUUCUUUCAAGAUUAAAAUUUUCUCCCUGUUUGGGAUGUUUGGUGUCGCUGAGUUUUUAGCUUUUUUCAAGCAACUGCUAAGCGUUUUGCUGCUACGGUGGUGAAAGAUUUUUCUGUCCCAAAAACAGAAGUUUCAAAAGCUUACUCUACAAUAUCAAAUGGAGAGGUCAACUAACAAAGUUUUCUCCCUGUCUCCCUGUCUGGGAUGUUUAGUGUCGAAACUGAACUAACGAAAAGGAAAAAAAAAACUCUCUAGCCUUUUUUCCAAUGUAGCCUAUGAAGGAUUUUAGAUCUCUUUUUUCUCCAUGGACUUGAAAUUUGAACCUUGUCGUUCUCCCCGGCCUUCCUCUUUUGCUCAGAUCUUGUUCUAGCU